AAGCAAUGGGUAAAGUUCAAGUCUGAUUCAAGUAAUUGCUAAAGACAAGUUAUGACCAGAAAUAAGUUUAAGAUUUCACGAGAGGAAAUGGAAAUCCUUAAGUGAUUAUCUAAGGCACGGAAGUUGCCGAGAAUGUGGAGUAAAGGAGACUUCACCCAAGAUGUCCGAGGUGUUUAGAUGGAUCUUACAUCCUCGGAAAAGUCGGAGAUGAUUGUGGUGGUCCAAAGAAAGAGCAAGGACUCUUUUGG
This 248-nucleotide long non-coding RNA is filed under the name Capsella grandiflora. RNAcentral describes it as "long non-coding RNA (CGRA_LNC000857)". The record is from RNAcentral. Lineage: Eukaryota; Viridiplantae; Streptophyta; Magnoliopsida; Brassicales; Brassicaceae.